Molecule: long non-coding RNA, 999 nt
Filed under: Mytilus galloprovincialis (Mediterranean mussel)
Lineage: Eukaryota; Metazoa; Mollusca; Bivalvia; Mytilida; Mytilidae
Source: RNAcentral
AUUGCGGUGUAUUGAUAAACUCCGCAUUAUUUAUUAAUGUAUAUAUUAAGUUUUUCUUUAAUUGUAUAUGGUUGGUACGGCUUUAUUUUUAAUGAGUUAUAUCCUGAAAAUACAAGUGAAUACAAUUUUUUUUUUCCUUCCUUGGGAGCACCACUGGUAAGCUGCUUUACAGAAUACUGAGUUAUGAUCAGAAGUGCCAAUUCCCCUGCAUAAAUUUGUGUACUUUUGCAAGUUACAACUGAAUUUGAUAUGAUAAAGCAACAAACAUUAAAAAACCAAUGUUGUAUAAUUUUUUAAAAGUAUACAAAUUUAUGUAGACAUAUUUGGUCUUUAUAGAAAGUAACUCCCAUUCUUAUCUCCAGCUUUGUUUAAGGUGGUACCCAACACUUUCACUAAAAUUAAUUUGGCUCGUUUAAUUUUCAUAAAAUUUUGACAAUGUAUUUACUUUGAACCUUUUACAAAAAUAUAUAAAAAUUUUGAAAAUUUUGAACCAACCGUUUUGUCAGAAAAAUUACACUGGUUAUAUAGCAGUUUGACAAACACCAAUUUUGAUCAUUAAGAAGCUUAAUAUUCCCUUUACAAAACAACGUAAUUAAAACAUUUAGCUGACUUUACAGAGUUAUCUCCCUGUAGUGUUAAGUACCACAUUGAAAUUCAGUUCUGAUAUCAAGUAUGCACAUGCAUCUUAUGUUUUGAUGGAAUAACAACUUUCGAGUUCAAUGCAUUUCCGUCAAAAACUCUAGUUUUAGUGAACGUCAUUUGUGCGUUUAGGGGUGUCGUCACUUCCAUUCCAAUGUAGAGCGAGUGGUUGGAAAACUAUAAUUCUAUAUUGUACGAAUUAUUCGGCAAAUUGAAUUCUCAAAAUUGACAAUCAACACUGCUGUCAUUAGGGAAUUGUCAGUAAGUACCUACAGAGCAACCAUUAUUUCUAGUUUAUCCAACACAAUGACGAUCACUAAGACGCUUGAUGAACGUAAAUAGUGCAGGGAUACAGGCGAC